CGAAAAACACCCUAUCAGUGUUCUCUCUGAGGUUGUUCAGGAUAAACGGGAGACUCGUUUCACUUACACGAAAGAAACAGGGGAAGAGGAUUAAAGGGAAAAGUAGUGCCCCCAAAGCUGAACUAUUUUAGAAAGGAAAGCAAAUUUAAAAAUCACUUUUCUGAGGAUUAAAAAAGGCCGGGAAACCGGCUCGUCGGAGGCACAAAGAGAGACAGUUUAAUCAGUCCGUGACCAAAAUCAAACAGAGUAAACUGUGUCAUCAUGGAGAUCUGCCCAGGAAAUCCCCAAAAUACAGAAGGAUCAGAAGUAGAUGGAAAUAAUGUCAUAGAACGUCUCUCACAACUGUGUUAUAAGAAUGACAGGGAAGCUACAGGUUACAACAGAUUUGUGAACUCAGCCAAGCACAGUGGUGGCAGGGCCUAGCUGCUACAAAGAAGACAUGUUUUAGACAAAUACUCAUGUGUAUGGGCAAAAAACUCGAGGACUGUAUUUGUGACUAAUUGUGUAACAGGGUAUUUUAGUUCCUGUUCUGUGGAAAGUGUAAAGCAUUCCAACAAAGGGUUUUAAUGUAGAUUUUUUUUUGCACCCAUGCUUUGAUUGCUAAAUGUAAUAGUCAGAUCGUGACGCUGAAUAAAUGUCUUUUUCUAAAAAAAAAAAAAAAGAAUGACACAUAUUUGUUCUUCAUUCUUGUUUCACAUUAGUAGUGGCAUUUCUCAUGCUCUAUUUUCCCAGCCUUGUUCUAUAUUUUGAGUUAUGUGAAUAAAAGUAUGCCAGGAUGCAAUAGGAAGGGUGCUUAAUAUUCAUCCUUGUAGGUUCAGGGAGAUCUUUCCAUGGAAGUAACAUUUGAACUGAGAUCUAAAGGAUGAAUAGGAAUUAUUCAGGCCAAGUGGUAAGUCAGAGAAAAGUGCUUGCUUUAGAUAAA
Molecule: long non-coding RNA, 922 nt
Filed under: Homo sapiens (human)
Lineage: Eukaryota; Metazoa; Chordata; Mammalia; Primates; Hominidae
Description: HSALNT0321245
Source: RNAcentral